UGGGGAAUCUUGCGCAAUGGGCGAAAGCCUGACGCAGCUACGCCGCGUGAGUGAAGAAGGCCUUUGGGUUGUAAAGCUCUUUCGAACGGGAAGAAGGGUGAACUUGCGAAUAGUCUGUUCAUUUGACUGUACCGUAUGAAGAAGUCACGGCUAACUUCGUGCCAGCAGCCGCGGUAAUACGAAGGUGACAAGCGUUGUUCGGAAUCAUUGGGCGUAAAGCGCACGUAGGCGGGUUUGUAAGUCGAUUGUGAAAACCCUGGGCUCAACCCGGGACCUGCAGUCGAAACUACAAGUCUUGAAUACUCGAGAGGAUGGUGGAAUUCCAGGAGUAGAAGUGAAAUUCGUAGAUAUCUGGAGGAACACCGGAGGCGAAAGCGGCCAUCUGGCGAGUUAUUGACGCUAAGGUGCGAAAGCGUGGGGAUCAAACAG
RNAcentral lists this ribosomal RNA (429 nucleotides) under uncultured bacterium. RNAcentral describes it as "bacterial SSU rRNA". It matches the Rfam family "Bacterial small subunit ribosomal RNA", at positions 355 to 775 of the family's 1533-position model. The record is from RNAcentral.